Molecule: non-coding RNA, 592 nt
Organism: Prunus mume (Japanese apricot)
Lineage: Eukaryota; Viridiplantae; Streptophyta; Magnoliopsida; Rosales; Rosaceae
Source: RefSeq, a predicted model, not a curated record
GUUUAUGGUUCUUCUGGUUUUACGCCAUACUCUUCCAUUCUUAAUAAGCGGAGCUGGAGAGUACUCAUUGACAUUGUUCACAUUACUGAUGUUGAGAACGAUUGGGAUUCUAUUUCCAAUCUAUAUCAUGGUUAGAGCAUUCACUGCUAUCCAACGUCAGCGGCGUCAACAGGAUCCUGAAAUUUCCCUUGCCACAUCCGACGAAGAAAAUGACUUGGCAUAUCCAUCACGCUUGAUUCAAAUUCGAUAAUUGAUUCAGCCACCACUCUUGGCUGGUGGAAUCAUUUGCUAUCACUGCAACAUCCCAGAAACGGAUCAAUAAUCAAGAUCUGCAAUUAUGUGUAAUGCAGAUGAACAUGAUCAGUGACAUCAUCAUUUCAAGACAAUGUGCUCGAAGCAUCGAUUACCGGCAAACCUUUUGCUUACCACGAUUCUGAAAGCUGUGUGUAGACAGCAUUGGAUAUAAGCUUUUUUCUUUUCAAGUACAGCAUACAAAUUAUGGGAAUCCUAGAAAUCAAAGCUGCAUGUAAAUUUUAAUAGUGAGUUAAUGUAUUUUAUCCAAAAGGAACAUGAUUGCUGCUUUCACUUUUAA